GCCUACGGCCACGCCAACCCGAACGUGCCCGAUCCCGUCUGAUCUUGGAAGCUAAGCAGAGAUGAGCCUGGUUAGUACUUGGAUGGGAGACCACCUAGGAAGACCAGGUGCUGUAAGCG
RNAcentral lists this ribosomal RNA (119 nucleotides) under Pteropus alecto (black flying fox). The record is from RNAcentral. Lineage: Eukaryota; Metazoa; Chordata; Mammalia; Chiroptera; Pteropodidae.